ACUGCUCAGUAACACGUGGCUAACCUGCCCUUGGGACGGAAACAUCCCCGGGAAACUGGGGCUAAUUUCCGAUAGGUGAAGACUCCUGGAAUGGAUUUUCGCCGAAAAGGCGCUUAGGGCAUGCUUCUAGGUGUUGCCCAAGGAUGGGGCCGCGGCCGAUCAGGUUGUUGGUGAGGUAAUGGCUCACCAAGCCUUUAACCGGUACGGGCCGUGGGAGCGGUAGCCCGGAGAUGGGCACUGAGACAAGGGCCCAGGCCCUACGGGGCGCAGCAGUCGCGAAAACUUCGCAAUAAGCGAAAGCUUGACGGGGCCAUCCCGAGUGCCAUCUGCUGAGGAUGGCUUUUACCCAGUAUAGAUAGCUGGGGGAAUAAGGAGAGGGCAAGUCUGGUGUCAGCCGCCGCGGUAAUACCAGCUCUCCGAGUUGUAGGGAUGUUUAUUGGGCCUAAAGCAUCCGUAGCCGGCUGGACAAGUCCUCUGUUAAAUCCACCGAAUUAAUCGUUGGAUUGCGGGGGAUACUGCUUGGCUAGGGGAUGAGAGAGGCAGACGGUAUUUCCGGGGUAGGGGUGAAAUCCUAUAAUCCCGGGAGGACCACCAGUGGCGAAGGCUGUCUGCUAGAACGCGCCCGACGGUGAGGGAUGAAAGCUGGGGGAGCGAACCGGAUUAGAUACCCGGGUAGUCCCAGCUGUAAACGAUGCAGGCUAGGUGUUUGGACGGCCACGUGCCGUUCUAGUGCCGCAGGGAAGCUGUUAAGCCUGCCGCCUGGGGAGUACGAUCGCAAGAUUGAAACUUAAAGGAAUUGGCGGGGGAGCAC
RNAcentral lists this ribosomal RNA (811 nucleotides) under uncultured archaeon. Its description in RNAcentral is "bacterial SSU rRNA". It matches the Rfam family "Archaeal small subunit ribosomal RNA", at positions 85 to 879 of the family's 1478-position model. The record is from RNAcentral.